Molecule: ribosomal RNA, 777 nt
Filed under: uncultured bacterium
Lineage: Bacteria
Description: bacterial SSU rRNA
Rfam family: Bacterial small subunit ribosomal RNA
Source: RNAcentral
CGAGCGAGCUUGCCUAGAUGAUUUUAGUGCUUGCACUAAAUGAAACUAUAUACAAGCGAGCGGCGGACGGGUGAGUAACACGUGGGUAACCUGCCCAAGAGACUGGGAUAACACCUGGAAACAGAUGCUAAUACCGGAUAACAACACUAGACGCAUGUCUAGAGUUUGAAAGAUGGUUCUGCUAUCACUCUUGGAUGGACCUGCGGUGCAUUAGCUAGUUGGUAAGGUAACGGCUUACCAAGGCAAUGAUGCAUAGCCGAGUUGAGAGACUGAUCGGCCACAUUGGGACUGAGACACGGCCCAAACUCCUACGGGAGGCAGCAGUAGGGAAUCUUCCACAAUGGACGAAAGUCUGAUGGAGCAACGCCGCGUGAGUGAAGAAGGGUUUCGGCUCGUAAAGCUCUGUUGGUAGUGAAGAAAGAUAGAGGUAGUAACUGGCCUUUAUUUGACGGUAAUUACUUAGAAAGUCACGGCUAACUACGUGCCAGCAGCCGCGGUAAUACGUAGGUGGCAAGCGUUGUCCGGAUUUAUUGGGCGUAAAGCGAGUGCAGGCGGUUCAAUAAGUCUGAUGUGAAAGCCUUCGGCUCAACCGGAGAAUUGCAUCAGAAACUGUUGAACUUGAGUGCAGAAGAGGAGAGUGGAACUCCAUGUGUAGCGGUGGAAUGCGUAGAUAUAUGGAAGAACACCAGUGGCGAAGGCGGCUCUCUGGUCUGCAACUGACGCUGAGGCUCGAAAGCAUGGGUAGCGAACAGGAUUAGAUACCCUGGUAGUCCAUGC